UAAAAUAAAUUGUUGUAUAAAUUUACUUUGCGCAUAUACUAAUUUUAAUAAAUUUUAUUUAAAUAGAUUUAAGUAUUAAAUUAUUUUUAUAUAAAUUUUAUUUAAUUAAUAAUUAGAGUUAUAAAACUAUAAUAAAAAUAUUAAAAAAAAAUAAAAUUUAUUAUAAAAAAUAAUUUUAUAUCCACAGCAUCGCUCGGGUAUUUCACUAGUAAAGCUAGAUUUAAAGGUAAACUUCUUAGAACACUUUUGCGCUUAGAGUUUCAUGUAUAUUAUUAUUUAUGCUUUAGUCCUUAAUUCUAAUACUGUUAGUAGUUUGCCGAAAAAAUUAGGGUUAAUUUCAUACAGGUCUCUACAAACAUAGUGAAUUAUAAAUAUAUCUCUACAAAGUUCAACUUUUAUAUGUCGUCCUCCUGAUAUUUUCAAAUAUAUUCAUAUUGUUAGAAAAAAUUAGUUAAUCAUGAAUAAAAUACUUAACCUUGGAUAGUUAAUGAGGUGAAUUGAUCUUUUUACCCCUCUUCAAUCAACCACUAGGACUUUUGGAAGGAUAUAUUUGUAAGGCAAAAAGGUCAUUUCACUUAUAAAAUAAACAGUGCUUUAACAGUAAUAAACUAGAGGGACAUAUUUGAAAAUAUUAGGAUUUUUGUAGGGACAACAUAUGAAAGUUGAACUUUGUAGGCAUAUAUAUAUUUGUAAUUCACUAUAUUUGUAGGGACCUAUAUAAAAUUAAUCCAAAAAAAUUAUGUUUUUAAAAAGAAAAAUGCCUAUUUAUUUUAUUAACUUAAAAUUUGAUUAAAACUUUAUUUUUAAUUAAUAUUUUAUUUUUUUAAAUCUUUAAAUUUAGAUAGUAAAUUCAAAUAUCAAAGUUUAAAUUCUAGCUCAAAUUUUAAAUUUUUAAAGUCAAAUUCAAAUUUUAAAAUAAAAUUCAGUAAAAAAAAUAUUAUUAUUAAACAAAAUUUUUUGUUUGCCAAACAAUUUUCUAAAAUAAUAUCAGAAAAAUCGCUUUCUUGCUCACUCAGUCAAACGCUCUAUACCUUUUAACCAAAUUUAAUUUUUUAAAUUAAAAUUAUUUCUGCAGAAAUUAUUUUUUCAAAAUCUUCGCGGAACAACCCUUAAAUUUCUUCUAAUUAGAUCUUUAUCCCAAUUUCAUU
Molecule: long non-coding RNA, 1148 nt
Filed under: Ananas comosus (pineapple)
Lineage: Eukaryota; Viridiplantae; Streptophyta; Magnoliopsida; Poales; Bromeliaceae
Description: long non-coding RNA (ACOM_LNC026447)
Source: RNAcentral